This 329-nucleotide ribosomal RNA is filed under the name uncultured eukaryote. RNAcentral describes it as "partial 18S ribosomal RNA". It matches the Rfam family "Eukaryotic small subunit ribosomal RNA", at positions 1470 to 1796 of the family's 1831-position model. The record is from RNAcentral.
CCCUUAGAUGUUCGGAGCUGCACGCGCGCUACACUGAUACGUUCAACGAGUUUAUAACCUUGAUUGAUAGGUCUGGGUAAUCUUUUGAAUGCGUAUCGUGCUAGGGAUAGAUUAUUGCAAUUAUUAAUCUUGAACGAGGAAUUCCUAGUAAACGCAAGUCAUCAGCUUGCAUUGAUUACGUCCCUGCCCUUUGUACACACCGCCCGUCGCACCUACCGAUUGAAUGACUCGGUGAAAAAUCGGGACUGUGGUCUAGCUUGCUUAAUUGCAAACUUGACUGUGGGAACUUUCUUUAACCUAUUCAUUUAGAGGAAGGUGAAGUCGUAACA